This 1275-nucleotide long non-coding RNA is filed under the name Olea europaea subsp. europaea. The record is from RNAcentral. Lineage: Eukaryota; Viridiplantae; Streptophyta; Magnoliopsida; Lamiales; Oleaceae.
CUAAAAAAGCUACAGAUAAGCACUGCAUGGCUUAUUAAAUGGAACAAACAAACUGAAUAAAUAGAGCUCACUACCCCACGUGUUGACUUUAGAAGAUAACAACAAAUAUGGGAAUCAUUUGCAUGGCUGGCUUUGUGAAUGUUGGACAAAUACCUCCACGUUUCCACUCCCAGCCUCCACUUCAUUUCCAUUUUAAUCUGGUGCCUUAACAAAGUUAUUUGCAUGGUGACAUGUAUCAUUUUCACAGUGCCUUGAAAUCAAUGUAGUUUUAGAGGCAGAAUUAUCAUUUUUCCUUCAUUCUUCUAUUCCACCGCGGGAGGAGGGGGGGUGGGGAUUUUUACAAUAUAAGGAGUUAAUAUUUGAAAAUGUGAUUGGAGAACAUGAGUUAACAGCGUUCUCACUAACUCUAGAACUAAUGAAUCUUCACAUCCUCUUAUUCCAUUAGAUUAUACUUAUAAUUGUCAAUAUCAAAAGCAAGGGCACCUAGAAUAACUCGGGAAAAUAUAUCAUACUUGUACUCUGUUUUCCACGAAAACCAAAUAGAGACAGGAAGUCGUAAUGAAUAAUGAUAAGAAAAUCAAUAUUCCCAGCUUACUCAAAAUGUUUUCUGCGUGAAAUUUGACAGACAACAAAAGAUAUGACAAACCUAAAAGUUAAUUAAUGGUGCUUUAACUAAAUUCUCUCCUUCCAUGCCACAGAUAUAAAACAGUGAAAUAACCCAACAGCAAUUUUUUUUCCUACCCAAAAGGCAAACGAUACAUGUACUAGCGAUUCAAUUUCCCGUAAAGAUUCAACGGUGAUCAAUGGUAUAAAAAAACAUAUAUUUGUUGGCAUGCUCCCUAUAAUCUAUACACAUGGACCAAUGACCUAUGAAAAGAACCUAAUUGAAACCAAACCCCAGCAGAAAAAAUAAUUCAAAACCCUAGUUCUAUAUAUCCCACAAAUCAAUAAGAUGUAAAAACAAAAACAAAAACCUCAACAACAAAAAAGCAGUAAAACCCCCAAAUUAAAGUAAUAUAACUAAAUCAGGAAAAAAAAUCAAGAUCAAAAACCUGAAUCUUGGCCUUGACAUUGUCGAUGGUAUCGCUGCUCUCAACCUCGAGAGUAAUGGUCUUUCCAGUUAGGGUUUUCACGAAGAUCUGCAUCUUUCCCGGGUUGUUUUAGUGUCCCGCUAGGAAAUCUACAAGAUGAGAAACCCGAAUAAAUAUUUUGGCCAGAUGCUAAUAGCUUCGCUUUUAAGCGGGUAUAGCGAUAUCUAUGAAGGAAAUAGUGGCC